GUGGAUUAGAUACCCUGGUAGUCCACGCCGUAAACGAUGAUCACUCGCUGUUGGCGAUACACAGUCAGCGGCUAAGCAAAAGCAUUAAGUGAUCCACCUGGGGAGUACGGCCGCAAGGCUGAAACUCAAAGGAAUUGACGGGGGCCCGCACAAGCGGAGGAACAUGUGGUUUAAUUCGAUGAUACGCGAGGAACCUUACCUGGGCUUAAAUGUAGAGUGCAUGGGGUAGAAAUAUCCCUUCCCUUCGGGGCUCUUUGCAAGGUGCUGCACGGCCGUCGACAACU
Molecule: ribosomal RNA, 284 nt
Filed under: uncultured bacterium
Lineage: Bacteria
Description: partial 16S ribosomal RNA
Rfam family: Bacterial small subunit ribosomal RNA
Source: RNAcentral